GAUUGCAGAUCCCGUGACCAUCGAGUUUUUGAACGCAAGUUGCGCCCGAAGCCGUCUCGGCGGUGGAGGGCACGUCUGCCUGGGUGUCAAGAAACGUCGCCAAACGUCCCUCUCCGCACCCUCCCGCCCGAGGGGGGAAGCAUCGAGGGGGCGGGCGGAUAUUGGCCUCCCGUGCGCAGUUGCUCGCGGUUGGCCCAAAAGAGAGUACCCCGGCGAGGCAGCCACGGCGUGCGGUGGCAGAAAGCGUAUGCUCUCCUCGAACACCGUCGUGGGCCGACCUCGUGGGACGGGAAAGACUAAGGCCCCGAUGCGAAGUCGUGUUUCGCGAAGCGACCCCAGGUCAGGCGGGAGCACCCGCUGAGUUUAAGCAUAUCAAUAAGCGGAGGAA
Molecule: ribosomal RNA, 388 nt
Filed under: Salacia vellaniana
Lineage: Eukaryota; Viridiplantae; Streptophyta; Magnoliopsida; Celastrales; Celastraceae
Description: eukaryotic LSU rRNA
Rfam family: Eukaryotic large subunit ribosomal RNA (bases 331-388)
Source: RNAcentral